UACGGAGGGUGCAAGCGUUGCUCGGAAUUAUUGGGCGUAAAGGGCAGGUAGGUGGUCUCAUUUGUCCGGGGUGAAAUCCUUGAGCUUAACUCAAGAAGUGCCCCGGAGACGGUGAGACUAGAGUUUUGGAGAGGGUCGUGGAAUUCCCGGUGUAGCGGUGAAAUGCGUAGAGAUCGGGAGGAACACCAGAGGCGAAAGCGGCGACCUGGACAAUGACUGACACUCAACUGCGAAAGCGUGGGGAGCAAACAGG
RNAcentral lists this ribosomal RNA (253 nucleotides) under uncultured bacterium. Its description in RNAcentral is "partial 16S ribosomal RNA". It matches the Rfam family "Bacterial small subunit ribosomal RNA", at positions 524 to 776 of the family's 1533-position model. The record is from RNAcentral.